CGCGGUAAAACGUAAAGGACGAGUAAUACACAUAAUAGGUAUAAAGAGUUAGCAAUACUGAUCUAAAAUCUUUGCUGUAAUAGCAAGAUAAAAACCUUUGGAGAGAUCUAGAAUCUAUAAAUGAGUUAUUAUGAGGUAUAUGAGUAGCGGUUAAAUGUGUAUAUACAUAUAUAACAACCAAUUAAGAAGUAAUAUAACUAAUACAUAGAUUGACGUUGAGUAACGAAACUUAGAGUAUCGAAUAGGAUUAGUCAACCUAUUAGUUUUAAGCGUAAACGAUGUAUACUAAUAUCUAUAUAAAUAAGGUAUGGAUAUAAAGCAAAUGCGAAAGUAUAUCACCAGGGGAGUACUGACUAAUCGAAGAAACCCAAAACAAUAGACGGUUUGAGUGUUAACAGUGGAUUAUGUUAUUUAAU
RNAcentral lists this ribosomal RNA (416 nucleotides) under Blastobotrys niveus. Its description in RNAcentral is "partial small subunit ribosomal RNA". It matches the Rfam family "Bacterial small subunit ribosomal RNA", at positions 516 to 950 of the family's 1533-position model. Lineage: Eukaryota; Fungi; Ascomycota; Dipodascomycetes; Dipodascales; Trichomonascaceae. The record is from RNAcentral.